GUCCCCGUCGAUUAGUGGUUAAAUCAUCACGUUGUGGUCACCAGGGCUUUCUCACCCACAAAUCCGUGAAGCCAGCGGCUCGAAUCCGCUCGGGGACA
Russula earlei is the source of this 98-nucleotide non-coding RNA. The record is from the annotation of a GenBank genome assembly. Lineage: Eukaryota; Fungi; Basidiomycota; Agaricomycetes; Russulales; Russulaceae.